Molecule: ribosomal RNA, 497 nt
Filed under: uncultured bacterium
Lineage: Bacteria
Description: partial 16S ribosomal RNA
Rfam family: Bacterial small subunit ribosomal RNA
Source: RNAcentral
GAUGAACGCUGGCGGCGUGCCUAAUACAUGCAAGUCGAGCGAACAGACGAGGAGCUUGCUCCUCUGACGUUAGCGGCGGACGGGUGAGUAACACGUGGAUAACCUACCUAUAAGACUGGGAUAACUUCGGGAAACCGGAGCUAAUACCGGAUAAUAUAUUGAACCGCAUGGUUCAAUAGUGAAAGACGGUUUUGCUGUCACUUAUAGAUGGAUCCGCGCCGCAUUAGCUAGUUGGUAAGGUAACGGCUUACCAAGGCAACGAUGCGUAGCCGACCGGAGAGGGUGAUCGGCCACCCUGGAACUGAGACACCGUCCAUGCUCCUACGGGAGGCCGCAGUAGGGAAUCUUCCGCAAUGGUCGAAAGCCUUACGGAGCAACGCCGCGUGAGUGAUGAAGGUCUUCGGUUCGUAAAGCUCUGUUAUUAGGUAUGAACAACUUUGUAAGUAACUAUGCACUUCUUGACGGUACCUAAUCAGAAAGCCACGGCUAACUACGUG